UAACAAUAACAGACAUGGAACCAACCAAUUUGAUGAAAAGUACUUUAUUGUGUUAAAGUAAUCCAAAAAAAACUGUGCAACACACUUUAUCAAUGAAACAUGUAAUUAGACAGUGAGAGAGGGAAAGAGAUAAAGAGAGAGAGAGAGAGAGAGAGAGAGAGAGAGAGAGAGAAGAGACUGAGAUCAGUAUCAGAGUGAAACCAGUAGCAGAGUCCCAGUGAGUCAGGUCAGGACUGGGAACACUGGUCUCUCCUCAG
Long non-coding RNA from Etheostoma spectabile (orangethroat darter), 257 nucleotides. RefSeq lists it as uncharacterized. Lineage: Eukaryota; Metazoa; Chordata; Actinopteri; Perciformes; Percidae. The transcript is spliced from 2 exons. The record is from RefSeq and is a predicted model, not a curated record.